This 828-nucleotide long non-coding RNA is filed under the name Dasypus novemcinctus (nine-banded armadillo). RNAcentral's name for it is "lncRNA (ENSDNOG00000051937.1)". Lineage: Eukaryota; Metazoa; Chordata; Mammalia; Cingulata; Dasypodidae. The record is from RNAcentral.
CCCCACAGUAGCUUGCCUCUCCACCUCGCCACCAUCCCGGCCCUCCCUUCCUCCUGCCGGGGUUUAAUAACCUGAGCAACUUUCCUUCCACACCUAUCCCCCCACCGCUUUCGUCUUGGUACUGCCUGCCCGGUGUGAGGUGCUCCGGUCACCCCUCUCUUUCCCUUCAGGUUGGUUCAGCCCCGGUCUACUCCGGGGUGGUGCUUAGUCGGCGCCAGACCGACCCUAGACUUCGCCGAGGCAGUGCAGUUCCUCUGGGUGCUUCCUCCUCGGCUUCUCCGUCUUCUUCUUCGUCUUCCUCGGCCUCCUUACCCUCCGCGGGGCCCAGAGACCCUGGUGUAUGCUCCAGCCCUGACCCCACCAGAGACAUGUCCACCCCGGCUCGGCGGCGCCUCAUGCGGGACUUCAAGAGGUUGCAGGAGGAUCCUCCGGCUGGAGUCAGCGGGGCCCCAUCCGAGAACAACAUCAUGGUUUGGAACGCGGUCAUUUUCGGGUGAGACUGCGUUCCCGGCGGUGGCGAGAGCUGGGGAACUCGAGCUGGCUCACUCUGCUCUCCAGUACAGGCCCCUUACGAAGGCGGAGGGUAAAGAGGAAAAUGUGCGGGGCUGGCGGGGCCUAGGCGCCUCCCUGGAGCCUGUGCCUCGAUUAGCUCGGUUCCCGCUGCUAGGGGAACCGUCGGGGGUUCUACGGGGGGCGGGGCGGGGGAGUGGUGGCGGUUUGGCUCGGCGGCCUGCACUGUCUCCAAGCCCCAAGCACCCAUUUGCAGCGGCUUUCCGACCCAGGAAACCGAUGGACGGUGGUUUGCCAAAGGCGGAGAUGGCAGCGCUU